GACAUAGGUUGCGAACGUUAUCCGGAAUUACUAGGCGUAAAGGGUUUGUAGGUGGCCUGCUAAGUCAGACGUGAAAUCCCUCAGCUUAACUGGGGAACUGCGUCUGAGACUGGUAGGCUCGAGGACAGGAGAGGAACGCGGAAUUCCAGGUGUAGCGGUGAAAUGCGUAGAUAUCUGGAGGAACACCGGUGGCGAAGGCGGCGUUCUGGACUGUUUCUGACACUGAAAAACGAAAGCCAGGGGAGCAAACGGG
This 253-nucleotide ribosomal RNA is filed under the name uncultured bacterium. RNAcentral's name for it is "partial 16S ribosomal RNA". It matches the Rfam family "Bacterial small subunit ribosomal RNA", at positions 524 to 776 of the family's 1533-position model. The record is from RNAcentral.